RNAcentral lists this long non-coding RNA (2216 nucleotides) under Equus asinus (donkey). RNAcentral describes it as "lncRNA (ENSEASG00005025332.1)". Lineage: Eukaryota; Metazoa; Chordata; Mammalia; Perissodactyla; Equidae. The record is from RNAcentral.
UGAACUUGGGGGCAUCACAUUCAGACAUAGCACCAGCCUCACCUGGCCAGGUCAGGGAAGUGGCUGUGGAACCCGAGGAUUAAACCGACCUGACAGAUGAAUGGACAUUGUCAAAGGCAGAAAAGGCAAGGGCCAUCCAGUGAGAGGCACCAGCACGUGCAGGGCCCCCAAGCCAGGGAGGACCCAGAGAAGAUCUGCUGUUUGGUCUGCUGAACGGCUUCUGAAGACGCCAGGAGUGUUUCCUCAAGUGUCGAUGGGACUGCUCACCCUGAAAUCAUGUGGUGUACCCGUUAAGAAAGAAGCGUCCUAGUUCCCACACCAGACACACUAAAUCAGCCUCUUUUUCUCUUUUAAUAAGUUCCAGGCAUUGGGAUACACGUGCAAGUGUGAAAGCCACAGCUCCUUGUCGUGAUGGCCGGGAUCCUGGCUCCUCCGGCAUCACUGGAGAACCAGCCCCACAGGGCCCAGCAGUUACCUGCGGCCAAUUCAUGUCCGGAAGCAGAUGCUCCUCCUCCAGACCCAGCGCCAGAAGGAAAGAUGCUUCAGAGCUCUUCCCCUGCAACUGAGACCAGCUGAGACCAUUAAUAAGAAAGGCAGAAGAUUCGGUGGUAACACCUGCCAUGUGAACUGCUCUGAGCUCUAUUCUGGCUCCUUUGUGAUAAACUGCAGGUCUUCCAAGGCUGAAAGGGUCCUCUCGGCAGGAGGGCGCUGGCAUAAGCCCUUUUUGGGAACUUUCCAGCGAGGAUGCAGGAGGCUGUGCUGCUCCACCCACCUCCGUGGCCACUGACGCCCUCCCUGUCCUCUAGUCUCACCCACCACUCAGCCCUCCCCCAUCCACUCUGGGGCUUUCUCUUGAAGACCUUUGGGAUCCUCGAUGUAGACAGCCUAGAGCUCACAGGCUCCACCUCUGCAGGAGGUGUGAUGAGCAUCCACAGAGAGCAGAAAAGGAUGCGCAAACUGUCUUGUUCCCAGACCCCAGAAACUCGGCAUCCAGCCUCCUGUGCUUGCCAGUCACCUCUUCUCACAUUUCCCCGUCAUGUGAACCAAGGGCACCAAUGUGGCAAAAUCAUCACUUUCACCUGAAGGUGCAUCUCCCAGGCAAGUGAGAGUUUGCAUUUGACAGACCCUAAGAUUGGACUGCGAACGUAGCUGCUUCCAGCUGGCCCUUCUGGGCUUGUGGUUUGCUCCCUCGUUGAAGUGAAGGCACCAUUAAAAACUCCUCAUUUGGGGCACCAUGUCUAGUCUUUGGUGCUAAAAUCUUCAGUGCUGCUACAGGGCUCCCAUCACAAAGCCUGCCACAGAGAUCUGGGAGGCACAUGAACUGCUCUGCAUGGCUGGCUGGUGAGCAGCCCUGCACCCUGGGGCAAAUGCCCGUAAGUAGCCUAAGUGUGGCAGAGGCUUCUGUUAUCAGUCAAUAACUAUGUCACUCUCUUUAUUAGUAACAGAUCUUUGAUUUUAAUCAGAGCCACAGUGGUGCCCAGUUAAAAAGACUACAUUCUCAGACUCCCUUGCAGCUAGUUUGACUAUGUGACUACAUUCCAGGAAAUGGAACAUAAGCAGAAGAGUGUAGGACCUCCUGUAAGUCUCUUUAAAGAAAGCUAACUCAUCUGGGAGGAGAAUUAUUCUUCCUGUCAGCUACCUGGAAAGUGUCUAAGAUGGUGGCCAUCUUGGACCAUGAGGUUACCUUGAGGAUGGGAGUCAUGAUGUGAGGAUGCUGGAACAGAAAGAUACAAGGAGCCUGGCUCCCCAGUUGCCAUGGAGCUGACAUGCCAGCCCUGGACUGCCUGCCUCUGGGCUCCUUUGAAGUGUGAGAGAAAUAAGCUUCCAUCUCAUUUAAGCCACUCUUGUUUCCAACUUUGUGACAUAAGCAGCUGAAUCUGGUUCUAACAACUGCAUUUAGUUGUUGCCUUUGAAUUUCCUGAGUAACUGGAGGAUCAUUCUUGCACUCUCCUGUGCUACAGCAAGCCAAGAUGAGCAGCAUGGACUUUGGGGUAUAGAAAUAGGUUUGAAUCCAUGCUCUGCUGUUAGCUGCAUGCUGCAAGCAAUUAUUUAUUUUCUCUGUUCCCGUUUGUCUUUCGUAAGAUGGCGUGCAUUAAUUCAUUCAUGCAUAUAACAUGGUAUAUGCACAUGGUAGGGGCCAACAAUGUUGGUUUCUGUGUUGUCCCCUCAUUCCCAUGUUGAGCAUUUUGUUUUAAAUACUCAAAAGAAACUCUAGG